RNAcentral lists this ribosomal RNA (899 nucleotides) under Neonectria galligena. Its description in RNAcentral is "LSU rRNA". It matches the Rfam family "Eukaryotic large subunit ribosomal RNA", at positions 38 to 965 of the family's 3401-position model. Lineage: Eukaryota; Fungi; Ascomycota; Sordariomycetes; Hypocreales; Nectriaceae. The record is from RNAcentral.
GCAUAUCAAUAAGCGGAGGAAAAGAAACCCAACAGGGAUUGCCCUAGUAACGGCGAAGUGAAGCGGCAACAGCUCAAAUUUGAAAUCUGGCCCCCGGGUCCGAGUUGUAAUUUGUAGAGGAUGCUUUUGGUGCGGUACCUUCCGAGUGCCCUGGAACGGGACGCCAUAGAGGGUGAGAGCCCCGUCUGGUUGGACGCCAAUCCUUUGUAAAGCUCCUUCAACGAGUCGAGUAGUUUGGGAAUGCUGCUCUAAAUGGGAGGUAUAUGUCUUCUAAAGCUAAAUAUUGGCCAGAGACCGAUAGCGCACAAGUAGAGUGAUCGAAAGAUGAAAAGCACUUUGAAAAGAGAGUUAAAAAGUACGUGAAAUUGUUGAAAGGGAAGCGCUCAUGACCAGACUUGGGCUUGGUUGAUCAUCCAGGGUUCUCCCUGGUGCACUCUUCCGGCCCAGGCCAGCAUCAGUUCGCUGUGGGGGAUAAAGGCUUCGGGAAUGUGGCUCCCUCGGGAGUGUUAUAGCCCGUCGUGUAAUACCCUGUGGUGGACUGAGGUUCGCGCAUUCGCAAGGAUGCUGGCGUAAUGGUCAUCAGCGACCCGUCUUGAAACACGGACCAAGGAGUCGUCUUCGUAUGCGAGUGUUCGGGUGUCAAACCCCUACGCGUAAUGAAAGUGAACGCAGGUGAGAGCUUCGGCGCAUCAUCGACCGAUCCUGAUGUUCUCGGAUGGAUUUGAGUAAGAGCAUACGGGGCCGGACCCGAAAGAAGGUGAACUAUGCCUGUAUAGGGUGAAGCCAGAGGAAACUCUGGUGGAGGCUCGCAGCGGUUUCUGACGUGCAAAUCGAUCGUCAAAUAUGGGCAUGGGGGGCGAAAGACUAAUCGAACCUUCUAGUAGCUGGUUUCCGCCGAA